This 84-nucleotide transfer RNA is filed under the name Nitrososphaerota archaeon. RNAcentral describes it as "tRNA-Ser". It matches the Rfam family "tRNA". From Rfam's summary of the family: Transfer RNA (tRNA) molecules are approximately 80 nucleotides in length. Lineage: Archaea; Thermoproteati; Nitrososphaerota. The record is from RNAcentral.
GCCGAGGUACCCUAGCCUGGUAGGGGGCAGGCCUGGAAAGCCUGUGUCCGCAAGGGCUCGUGAGUUCAAAUCUCACCCUCGGCG